UCAUGUAGAAUGACCUACUACAUAUAACAUUUUCAUUUCCCAGGAGAGGAAACAGAGAAAUGAAUGCAACAUGUCUUUUAAAUAUAGGUAAAACCCAAGGAAUAAUAUUUACUGUAAAGAAGAACAUAUUCCUAAUGUAACAGUGGAAUAGAAUGAGAUCAUGCAAUUACAUUUAUACAUGCAAGUAAUGUGUACAAUCCUUCUCUCCUGGCCAAAGAUUUUUUCUCUGCCAUUUUAAUUCUAAUGGCAUUGAUCAGAUUAUUUAUUUUUAAAGAAAUACGACUGCUAAUGAGCUAUUAAAAUAACAGUAUUCAAAGGUCAUAUAUUUAUUACAUGCUAAGAGAGGGUAUGUGUUUUUUUUAAUAUCUUGCAUCUUCAUUAAAUAUGAAGGUAAUUAAUUUUAUUAUUCAGACACCUCUUUCCUACACAUGUUUACUUAAGUUUUCUUCUGCUCAAAUCAGUCUAAUAAAAAUAAUGGAGCUGGUGAUGUUUGACCUCUUCAUUUGUCUCAAAUUUCAGGAAUUGUGUGGUCCAGAACACAGUGCACUAGCUGGUGAGAAGUUUACACUUGGGUUUUUUUAAGGACUUGCUGCAGUAAAUUUUCUUGUUGCUUCCCGUCUUUCAAAUGUAUGAUAUUUCAAGCAGUUUAGGGCAGAUGCAUUCUAUUCUGUUUCUGUAAUACCUGGCACAAUUAGAAUUUCAUGUUAUUUAAUAUAUAUAAGAGAAUUUUAAAGUUAAAAAAUGUAAGUUGAAGCAAGCUAUUGUAUAUUUUAAACUUGAUUAUGGCAUUCUAGUGUAAAAGCUCAUGUGGGUAUGAGGUGAAUACAUUGUAAGAACCAUUACUUCUUCUCCAUGGAUUCAGUACACACCUACAGAAUUUGCAAGUCUGUGCGUUUGUGUGAAAAGUACAGAAUCAAAGAAGCUGUAGAUAAAAGACUGGGAUCCACAGGACAUGAUAAAACUUUUAAGUGUCCAUCUUGAGAAGCAGAGAGACAUUGAAAACAAUUGGAAUUAACUUAUUACAGAAGGUUUUUAAAAGUAUUAAGUAUGUAUAGCCAGUACAGGAAAAGUUCUUUUCUUUUGAUUACUGUAAUAGAUGUAGUACUUUGUUUUUCAUUAACAUUUUGCUGUAAAGAGUUCCUUUAUUGCAUUAAGGAAUGUAACCUUAAAGGCUAAUUUUAGCUAAGGCAGCCUUUCCUCCCAAGGCUCUAUUGACAAAUGGUUCUUCUGGAGGGCAGUUCGGAGCCUACUUCAUGUGCUUUGAAUUAGUUUACUGAAGGAACCUUUCUCUGUCCAUUGACUCGGCCCUGGAAAAAAUAACUUAGAUCUCUGCAAGUAAGCUUAGUCUUCAGUGAAUACAUGGAACACCCUGUUAGCAUUCAGACUAUGAUUCAGAAUAACUCUUUUUAGGUCACAUUAUUUAUGAAAAUUUUUAUUGAGUUUUCACAGCUUGAUAACAGAGUAAGAUGUACUCUUGGAAUCAGACAUCUCCCACCCCCUGCAAGUGUUAUGCAGAUCUUACAGACACUAAUAUUGGGCCUCAGAUCUUUGUGCCAUCUGCUUUAGUACCCAUUUUUCAGCAGAGUCUGAAGCACAUCAACAGUAUUUGAUUGCUUUCUGCUGUGUAGUUGCAGUGGUCCUGAUAGCAACCAGUAAAUGCCACUCCCUUAUCAUAAUCUUUUCCCAGACAUUCCAUUCACAAAAAGCUAUGUAGAAGGAGUUUCUUGGAAUUACAACCAGAUUUAUCUGGGACCCCUUAUAAGAGGUCCUACUUCUAAUGAGUGCAAGUCUUUCAUUGACACCACAUGCAUGAAAAUCUCUCCAUAUAUGUUGUGGUAAUAUACAUGUGGCACCUGUGAAUAUAGGCACAAUCUCUUAGAUAUAGACUGGGGAAUUUAUUAAUAUUAAGGUUUUUCAGUUCUUUCAUUCAAACUGUACAUGGACCUGGGAUAUUGAUUCUCAUCUUUAGGCAACAGAUGAUGUCAUUACACAAAUCAUACAAUUUCAUUUUCAGAAGAGCAUAAGAUACCUGUUGCUCUACACUUAAGUCUCUUCUAGAAUCCUGUCAAAAAUGCUGUGAUAUCUGUUAGAGAGCAGAUAUGAUGAGAUAAGCUCUCUUUUUCUUCUGUAACCUUUCUGGUGCACAUUUGAACACUACCCUCACCUAAGACUAGAAUUAUUUUGCACUAUCACAAUAUAGAUUAAUUUUAGAGCAACUGAAAAUGCAAGACAAAAUGAAACAAAAAUGGACAGAUACAGUCAAGCAAAUUACAGAAUAAUAUUUUGCAUGAGAUCCCAAAAUGUUGUGAAAACAUUUUGCCUACAUGUAUAAUGAAUCACAGAAUUUUUACAGUUAUCUUGCUUAAUAUUUUUCCAUUCAUUAUAAGAUUGCUUCCAGUCUUUGUCAUUAGCUACAACUGGGACAUUAAUCUAAUAAUAUUUCAUAUAGUAAGGCUAAUUGAUACAGUAACUAUUACCUUGAUUAAACAACUUAGUCUUUGCAUGCCUGCUUUGGAAGAUAAACAUUCCUGGUGCAACCCACUCUGCCUUUAUUUUUGCUGGGUUUUCCAAUUCUGAAGUCAUGUGCAGCCUCUGAUUUAGGCAACCACUAACCAGGCAGAAGUGCAUUUACGCGUUGAACCUAGGUUGAUCAAUGCAAUCAUGUCAGUUGAGUUUGUACUGUGGAUGUUAACUUCAACAUUUAUGUGCAUUUCUCCUCCUUUUGUCACUAGCUAAAUUUAGAUGCUAGGUUUCACUGCAAGAUAAAGGUACAACAACCCACUGUAAAAUAUCCAUUCAUAAAGCCAACCCAAAACAGAAUUGCACUUCAGUAAUCUGACUGCAUGGAUAACAACACAGCUGUUGGAUCAUAAUUGUACAUGUUUUGCAGGAGUAGAAAUCCCCAGUUUGCCAAAUAUGCAUUUAAAAAUAAAGGUAUCAUUUUAAAAGUUUUCAAGACUCUAUCUACAGGGUGUUUUUUUUUUUUUUUGUGAAGUAUUGUUUUUAUGCUCAGUAAGUGGAAUUCAAAUCAAAUGCUAAAUAACCAAUGAGUGCCAGUGACAGAGUGGCUGUUAUUUUCUCCAGUUUUACUCACCUGUCCAACAGAAAAAAAAUUUGCUGUAUUGCUUUGUGUAUACUCACAGCCAUUUAUCAUCUCUUUAAAUUUUUUCCUUCAAUAAAGGCAAUAUUCAUCAGUAAAAAUGGUCAAAGUAAUUCCAUUUGUGUUAGUUUGUAUUAUAUUUUAAAAUUCUAAAUUCAGAUUUAGGUAGCGACAGCAUUGACUGGGAAGCAGUGUUAAAUACCUGCCAAAAAUUUACUUUUACAUUACUUUCAGUGGAAGUGAAGCUUGAGAAUUGUCCAUAUAUUUAUUUUUGUGAGAGAAAGAAUUGGUUAGAAUACAACCAAACUGUUGAAAGCCAUUUUGAGCUGACAGUGUUUUCAAGCUGCUUAAUAAAGCAGCCUAGAAUGAGAUGUGGUGUUAAGGACAUUUUCAAGUAUUUUCAUUUCAGUAUUUUCUUAGUGGGUCCUUUUAGCCUUUAAGAAAAGUUUCUAUUUGUAUGAGCCAGUAACUACAAUGUGCACUAGAAUUUCUUGCAUUUCUUUUUAUUUUCUGCAGAAUUUGUUUGCUCUGCAGAUAUCACUGACAUUUAAAUUUAGAAUCAUCAAACUUUAUAUUUACAGCUUACAAUUAAACAAAUUAUAUAAUGAAGAUAUGUCUCAAAAAUAAAUCACAUAAGAGAAUGAAUAAAUUAAGUCAUCCUCCUUAGCCUUUUGCCACCUGCUUCUUCUUGAGGCUGUGUUUUUGCACUGUAUGGUGUUUUGUCUGGUAUUUCCUCUUGCAGCUCUCUGGUAGCUGCAUACAGCCAGACUAUGUCACCCAAGUAACGACUUUUAGCUCACACCCUCCAAACACUUAAUGAUUGGAGGAAAGCAUCUAUGAGUUCUAGAUAGUGUUCUAGUUAUGACAAGUGAAGGUAUAUGUGAAAUAUGAUUAUUAUUAUAAUAUCAUUAGUCAGUAUUUUGCAUGUGCCUGUGUCUGACUGAGAGGCUAUGCAUGUUGCACUAGUGAGCCUCAGAGGCUUAUGUCUUAAGCUCCAACCAGAACAAAACUUUUAGAUUUUCAUUCAUGUCCUACAUGUUGAAUGAGGAACAACCAUCACAAAAGAAAACAACACCAAUUUCUUCACACCUACCUCUUGUUAAUGGAUAUUAUAAAUAAAUGUCACCUCCAUCAGCUACAGGGCCAGAGGUUCCUCUACCCAGCCACUGGAUCCCAGUCUAGAGACUCAGGGGUUUCCAUCCCAAGCUGAUGGACAUGUCUACUUCUUUUCCAUUUGCAGGUUCAGCCAGUAGGCUGAACAUACGUUUCUAGGCUGAGCAUGUGUUUUGGAGACGUGCAGUCACACAGAGGAAAAGAGGCAAAGCUGCCUACAUGUACUGUCACAGACCAGGCGCUGCCUUCUGCAGCACCCACAUGUGACAUUGACAGGACUGCAGUCAAGUCCUCUUCUUCCUCUUGAGCUGGUAUAGAGCCAAAUUCACUGGCUCAAAUUCACUAGCUGAAAGCAUGUGUGUCCCCACUCACUAUACUCACAAGCAGAUGCACAUGUGGAGGUCCCUCCUGGUGCUGUAAAUAGGAAUUGUCAGGGGCCCUGCAUAAGUAUGGUCUGAGAAAGCAAACAGGCCAAUCAUAGUUCUACCAUAUUAUUGCAUGAGCAGUAAGCUAUUCCAAACUCCAGCCAUGCUAAUAAUAAUGAAUGGCAUAGGAUAGGCUUGAAGUCUGCUUUAUUUUGCUUAGACCAAAUCUGUAAAUCGAAAUGUUUGCAUUUAUAUUCCAUAUUCAGGAAUGUAUAUGUUUAGUGGUUUUGGGUUUUUUUUUAAAUUCCAGAUUGAAAAUGUAGGUUUUGAAUAAUGAAACUGUUACUUGAAUGAGGAAAAACUACAGUUCUCUCUCCUUCACUCACUCCAUCUUUUCACCCUCUAACCUUUAAAGAAAGCUGCAAUUCCAAAUCUCAAAUGCCCCUAUUGUCUACGCAGUGGGGAAAUCAUUGAUCUCCUCAAAAUUACUUCCUGUUUGCAUCCUCAUUCUGAGGUGCAGCUGGAGAUAAUAGGCUGUGCUAGGGCAGUAGCCUUUCCUGAAGGCAUGAGGUUCAUAGGACUCGCACUAAUUCUCAAGCAUAAAAAUACAUUUGAAUAGGAUAUUUGUUUCUAAAUUGUUCUGUCUAUAAUUUUAUCACCAGCCUCACUAUGUGAACUAGUUGACCACUAGAUAUAAAGUCUGUGUAAAGGCACAAUAUAGCAUUUUUUUUAACAUGGUUCAGUUAUAAUCAAUUAAUAAAUCAAAAAAUGUUUGAAGUUGCUCACAUACUGCUGCCAAUUUUGGUAGACACAUUCUCCAUACAGUACACCAUGAACAGAAAUGUGUUUAGCUGUCCAUUAAUGGCAGUCCUUGAUGUAACCACACAGUCAAGAUAAGAAAUAUGGAAGCUAAAAUAAACAACUUGAAUCACUGUAACAGCAAAAGGAAGCUUGCAGCUCCAUACUACACAAUGCAAAAGUACACAUAAAAGAGCUGCAGCCCUGUUGCAGCAUGUCAAACAAGAAAGCCCUCGGUGCUGUAAACUAUUUCUCUCAUGUUGAGAUUGACUUUUCCAGUCAUAAAAAAAAUUUCCACUUUUAAAGGUGAUAUAGCUACAGAUCCAGUAACAGACGAAUGAAGAAAGAAAGGAUGUGGUUCCUACAGCUGUAGGAACCUGUACAUACUGUACAUAGCCAAAAGUAUUCUUCUUGGUAUGAUUUUACAGAUGUGAUACUGAGAAGGAAACUCCACUGUGAGUGUUGUGAUCCUCUAUUGCUAGCACGACGUUUUAGCUGCUUAUCUAGCCUUUACAUAACCAGAUUUGUUUGACUCCUGGAUGAAGGAACCAUAAUUCUAUCAUCAAAACACUCAAUUGAAUAUUGAACUUUGGGAAUAAAAAGAUUCUACCCCCUGUAUCUUUCUGUGUUUUCAACAUGAUGUCUCUUUAUGUAUAUCUGUCUGUGUACAAAAAUCUUUCUUCUGUCAAUAGUUUGUUGUGUGGCCUGGAGUAGAUCCCAUACCUCAGGAGGGAGUAAAAUCCUUCCUCUCCUGAGAGUGGGAGUCUUGGUCUUCAGCAGGGUUAGGACUUCAUCCUGCAUCUAAUAUUCUGAAGCUGUACAAUGAAGACAUGAAUAUAACAGGUCCCUGCCUUCUUCACAAGAGUAUUCAAAGUUGAAGUAGUUUCCCUUCACAGAAAUUAAUGACUUUUCUUAAUUAGCUUUACUUUUGUCAAAGCACAAAUUCUAAAAAA
Long non-coding RNA from Taeniopygia guttata (zebra finch), 6329 nucleotides. The record is from Ensembl. NCBI's taxonomy places the organism in Eukaryota, Metazoa, Chordata, Aves, Passeriformes, Estrildidae.